Molecule: transfer RNA, 77 nt
Filed under: Francisella tularensis subsp. holarctica
Lineage: Bacteria; Pseudomonadati; Pseudomonadota; Gammaproteobacteria; Thiotrichales; Francisellaceae
Description: tRNA-Ile
Rfam family: tRNA
About the family: Transfer RNA (tRNA) molecules are approximately 80 nucleotides in length. Their secondary structure includes four short double-helical elements and three loops (D, anti-codon, and T loops).
Source: RNAcentral
GGGUCUGUAGCUCAGUUGGUUAGAGCGCACCCCUGAUAAGGGUGAGGUCGGUAGUUCCAGUAUACUCAGACCCACCA